CAAAUCCUGAGAUGUGAUGCCGAGCCGAUUGUGGCGAAGUGGGUGAUCCUAUGCUGCCGAGAAAAGCCUCUAGUGAGUGUCGUGGCGGCCCGUACCCCAAACCGACUCAGGUGGUCAGGUAGAGAAUACCAAGGCGAUCGGGUGAACUGUGGUUAAGGAACUCGGCAAAUUGCCCCCGUAACUUCGGGAGAAGGGGGGCCUCCGCUGGUGAUCAGACUUGCUUUGUGAGCUGGUGGGGGUCGCAGAGGCCAGGGGGAAGCGACUGUUUACUAAAAACACAGGUCCGUGCGAAGUCGUAAGACGAUGUAUACGGACUGACGCCUGCCCGGUGCUGGAACGUUAAGGGGACCGGUUAGCGCACUUCGGUGUGCGAGGCUGAGAACUUAAGCGCCAGUAAACGGCUGUGGUAACUAUAACCAUCCUAAGGUAGCGAAAUUCCUUGUCGGGUAAGUUCCGACCUGCACGAAUGGCGUAACGACUUCCCCGCUGUCUCAACCGCAGACCCGGCGAAAUUGCACUACGAGUAAAGAUGCUCGUUACGCGCAGCAGGACGGAAAGACCCCGGGACCUUCACUACAGCUUGACAUUGGCGUUUGGAACGUCUUGUGUAGGAUAGGUGGGAGACUGUGAAGCUGUCACGCUAGUGGCGGUGGAGUCAUUGGUGAAAUACCACUCUGGUCGUUUUGAACGUCUAACUUCGGUCCGUGAUCCGGAUCAGGGACAGUGUCUGGUGGGUAGUUUAACUGGGGCGGUUGCCUCCUAAAGAGUAACGGAGGCGCCCAAAGGUUCCCUCAGCCUGGUUGGUAAUCAGGUGUCGAGUGUAAGUGCACAAGGGAGCUUGACUGUGAGACCGACGGGUCGAGCAGGAGCGAAAGCUGGGACUAGUGAUCCGGCGGUGGCAUGUGGAAGCGCCGUCGCUCAACGGCUAAAAGGUACCCCGGGGAUAACAGGCUGAUCUUCCCCAAGAGUCCAUAUCGACGGGAUGGUUUGGCACCUCGAUGUCGGCUCGUCGCAUCCUGGGGCUGGAGUAGGUCCCAAGGGUUGGGCUGUUCGCCCAUUAAAGCGGUACGCGAGCUGGGUUUAGAACGUCGCGAGACAGUUCGGUCCCUAUCCGCUGCGCGCGCAGGAGACUUGAAAGGAGCUGUCCCUAGUACGAGAGGACCGGGACGGACGAACCUCUGGUGUGCCAGUUGUUCCGCCAGGAGCAUGGCUGGUUGGCUACGUUCGGAAGGGAUAACCGCUGAAAGCAUCUAAGCGGGAAGCUCGCCUUGAGAUGAGGUCUCCCACCACGAAAGUGGGUAAGGCCCCCGGGAGACGACCGGGUUGAUAGGCCGGAGGUGGAAGCAUGGUAACGUGUGGAGCUGACCGGUACUAAUAGGCCGAGGACUUGACCAC
This 1395-nucleotide ribosomal RNA is filed under the name metagenome. RNAcentral describes it as "bacterial LSU rRNA". It matches the Rfam family "Bacterial large subunit ribosomal RNA", at positions 1550 to 2925 of the family's 2925-position model. The record is from RNAcentral.